GAAUUUAGGGAGAGGGGCACCUGGCUGGCUCAGCUGGAAGAGCAGUGGCUUUUUUUUUUUUUUUUUUUUUGAUGGGGGUUAACAUCUUUAUUGCUCUGGGUACAGGGGCAAGUGCUCAGGAGAGCAGUGGCUUUUGAUCUUGGGGUUGUGAGUUCCAGCCCCAUGUGGUGUGGAGGUUACUUAAAAAUAAAUUUUUUUAAGAGAAUUUUGGGAGCACUUGUAUCUUCUUUUCUUCACUUUGGGUAUUCUUAUUUAUCCUUGAAGGUUCAGUUCAAAAUAUCUCCUCUAGGAAGACUUUUCUAAUUCCUCCAAGCUGGAUUAAUGCUCCUCCAUGUUGGUCCCACAAGGUCACACCUCUUCUCUCAGCACAAAAUACUUAGGGUGGAUCAGUCAGUUAUUACACUAGGCUGCAUGCUCUAAGAACAGGCUCUUACCAGGGUGAAUAUCUAUACUCUACUUGGAUAUGACAGCAAAAAUCUGAGGAGAUACCCAGUGGGGUCACUUUGCUGACUAACAGGCUUCUACAUCUGUGUGAAGGCAAGCUGAGGGAGUGUCAUCAGGCUGGCCCCCAACUCCCUUUGCGAAAAUCUGCUUUAUCUCACAAAGGAAUGAGCACUUCUGCUUGAGAGACUUCAAUUGCAUCCUUUACUUACUAUAGGUUUUUCUCUCCUUUUUCUAUAGCAAGAUGGACAAGCAGCCAGCAUAAUAAAGAGGUCACACGUAAACAAGUCUAAAGAAUAUAGACAACUAUAAAUUCUCUCUACAUGAAGUUCAAGCUUGAUUUUCCACACCAUUGACAUGAGGCAAUGUUAAGAGGCUACUAGAAACAGGCUUGGGAAUAGUUGAUGCCGGAUCUUGAGAGGAAACCUUUGAACACUCCACUUCUUACUUGUCAGCUUCAACCAGUCUCUCUAGAUAUUGAUGUAGUAAGGAGCAGCAGCUCACAGCUUCACUGGCAUUGAUGGGCGUGGUGGCUUCAUGUCCAGGCUGGAUUGCAAGCUCCGCGCUGCUGGGCCGUUUAUCUCUGCCACCACAACAGCCCGGGCCGCAAACAGGCGAGCCGUUCUCUGCCCGGCUCCUGGGCUCCCGCCGGGAGGGCACAAUUAAGACAGACCCUUGCCUUCUUGGCUGCCAAAGCAUUUCAGCUUCUGAAGAGCAUGGGAAGCAACGCCAUCAACCCCCCUGAGGAAAUAAAUAAAUAAAUUAAUUAAUUAAAUAAAUGCA
RNAcentral lists this long non-coding RNA (1224 nucleotides) under Vulpes vulpes (red fox). RNAcentral describes it as "lncRNA (ENSVVUG00000019958.1)". Lineage: Eukaryota; Metazoa; Chordata; Mammalia; Carnivora; Canidae. The record is from RNAcentral.